UGGUUAAAGAAAUUACAGCCACUUUGACCUGAGGCAUUCCCCAAGUAAAAUGGGUACUAAAAUGAAACGUCUUUCAGUCAGUACCCUGAAAUUUCGUGUGCCCAAGAUGUGUGAUCCAUCUUAUCAGAGGGCCUCCUACGUACUGGAUUUGAAUCACGACCUACCAGCAUCAUAGGACCACUCUCACUGCCUGCAUGACCUCCAGUGACUACCACAGAGACGUGGAAAGACAGGGCUUUUGGGUUGAGUAGUCAUGCACCAAUGAGCCCCAACAAGGCCAGUGAAGCUCAGAAGAUGGGUCCCAAUAUUUCCCAGCAGAAUUCCAAUUUACACAGGCCAAUUUAUAAAACUGCCCCAGAAGAUAAACUUCUAGGGAGGGGCCAUUGGAGCACACAGUUCAAAGAAGGCAGGCCAUGUGGCUGAGGCCAGAACAGUACCCUCAGGACCUGGGCCUCCUCUCCCAUAACCCAUCUUCCCUUGUAGGAAAAGGCUCUUAAGGUUGUGACACCUGCCAUUGACUACUUGGGCCUGGAACUGCUUUAACUAUGAUCUUCUAGACAGAAAAGUCCUGCCAGAGAGAGCCAAUCCUGAGCAGGACAAAUUAUACACCAAACACAAAGUCAUCGCCUUCAGCUUCUGAAUUACCCCAAGAGGGGCCACCAAGUCAAGACUGACUCCACCAGGGAUUUGAACCAGGAACCUUGCAGUUGCAAGCCCUGCACCUUAACCAACUGUGCAAAUAGACCACAGGUGUUAAGGAAGGGCAGAAAGCUUUCUUGAGCUGUAAUUUGAAUAGGAAUGCUGCACCCUGAGGCACUGUGGCCUGCCUCAAAGCCGGGUGGGGCUGACGGUCAUCAGCAGCUUCAGCUGCUUCCUUCCCUCAGAGUUGCCCCAGCUGAGGAAAAAAGCCCCUUGCUGAGUCAGUUGAAAAGCCUUGUUCACAGCUGCUGCUGGGCCCUCGUGAGUGCCCCCGUGGCUUUCAGUCGCCAUGUUGACGCUGCCAGAACCACUUGCACGCCUGGGCCACUUCCUGAGCUACUGCCCACACAGGGACCCGUUGCUGGCAGCAAACGCCCCGGGGAGCCUUUUGGCCCUGCGACCUGGGACUGGGGCAUGCCAGAGAGGCCGGCCAGAGCCCCCCGCAGGCUCCGGUUGUGCAUUGCUCCCCUCCGCUGUUUUCUCCAGCCUGGCUGCCCGCUGGGUUCCGCCCCUGGGGCUGGGCUGCCCCCGACCUGCAGGGAGAGAAAGCCCCAGGGGCAGCACUUGCCCUCUGCCCCGCAGGCUCCCUCAGGUUUUGCUCCUAGAGAUGAUAUCCGAAGGAUAGAGAAGGAGACGGAAAGCAGAGAGAGAGCUGGAAGAUCCCUCAAGACUGGGACCAGCUAUAAUCAGGAAUGAUCUAGGAGGCUGACAAUGGAUUCUAGUGCUGGAUCUGCCCCUUGCUAACGUUUGUGAGUAAGCAAUUAACGUUGCUAAGCCUCCCUUGCCUCAGUUAUGUAAAGAAGAUAGC
This 1507-nucleotide long non-coding RNA is filed under the name Callithrix jacchus (white-tufted-ear marmoset). RNAcentral describes it as "lncRNA (ENSCJAG00000076050.1)". Lineage: Eukaryota; Metazoa; Chordata; Mammalia; Primates; Cebidae. The record is from RNAcentral.